This 74-nucleotide transfer RNA is filed under the name Candidatus Omnitrophota bacterium. RNAcentral describes it as "tRNA-Pro". It matches the Rfam family "tRNA". Rfam says of the family: Transfer RNA (tRNA) molecules are approximately 80 nucleotides in length. The record is from RNAcentral. Lineage: Bacteria; Pseudomonadati; Candidatus Omnitrophota.
CGGGAAGUAGCGCAGAUGGCUAGCGCGCAACGUUCGGGACGUUGAGGUCGUGGGUUCAAGCCCCACCUUCCCGA